GGAGAAGUGGCCGAGUGGUCGAAGGCACACCCCUGCUAAGGGUGCAUACGAGCUUAAACUUGUAUCGAGGGUUCGAAUCCCUCCUUCUCCGCCA
RNAcentral lists this transfer RNA (94 nucleotides) under Gammaproteobacteria bacterium. Its description in RNAcentral is "tRNA-Ser". It matches the Rfam family "tRNA". Rfam says of the family: Transfer RNA (tRNA) molecules are approximately 80 nucleotides in length. Their secondary structure includes four short double-helical elements and three loops (D, anti-codon, and T loops). Further hydrogen bonds mediate the characteristic L-shaped molecular structure. tRNAs have two regions of fundamental functional importance: the anti-codon, which is responsible for specific mRNA codon recognition, and the 3' end, to which the tRNAs corresponding amino acid is attached (by aminoacyl-tRNA synthetases). tRNAs cope with the degeneracy of the genetic code in two manners: having more than one tRNA (with a specific anti-codon) for a particular amino acid; and 'wobble' base-pairing, i.e. permitting non-standard base-pairing at the 3rd anti-codon position. Lineage: Bacteria; Pseudomonadati; Pseudomonadota; Gammaproteobacteria. RNAcentral also lists the same sequence under 1 other name. The record is from RNAcentral.